UACGUAGGGGGCGAGCGUUGUCCGGAGUUACUGGGCGUAAAGCGCACGCAGGCGGUCUGUUAAGUUUGGAGUGACAGUUGGUGGCUUAACUGCCAAAGUGCUUCGAAAACUGACAGACUUGAGGGCUUCAGAGGGACACGGAAUUCCGGGUGGAGUGGUGAAAUGCGUAGAGAUCGGAAAGAACACCAACGGCGAAAGCACUCUGCUGGGCCGACACUGACACUGAGAGACGAAAGCUAGGGGAGCGAAUGGG
RNAcentral lists this ribosomal RNA (253 nucleotides) under uncultured bacterium. RNAcentral's name for it is "partial 16S ribosomal RNA". It matches the Rfam family "Bacterial small subunit ribosomal RNA", at positions 524 to 776 of the family's 1533-position model. The record is from RNAcentral.